RNAcentral lists this unclassified non-coding RNA (144 nucleotides) under soil metagenome. RNAcentral describes it as "partial internal transcribed spacer 1". The record is from RNAcentral.
CCGAGUGAGGGCCUCCGGGCCCGACCUCCAACCCUUUGUGAACACACCCGUUGCUUCGGGGGCGACCCUGCCGUUUCGACGGCGAGCGCCCCCGGAGGUCUUCCAACACUGCAUCUUUGCGUCGGUGUUUAAGGAAAUGAAACA